CUACACAUGACAUCUCGAGCGGUAGCACAUGCAGAGCUAUGCUACAUCGGGUGACGAGCGGCGGACGGGUGAGUAAUGUCUGGGAAACUGCCUGAUGGAGGGGGAUAACUACUGGAAACGGUAGCUAAUACCGCAUAACGUCGCAAGACCAAAGUGGGGGACCUUCGGGCCUCAUGCCAUCAGAUGUGCCCAGAUGGGAUUAGCUAGUAGGUGGGGUAACGGCUCACCUAGGCGACGAUCCCUAGCUGGUCUGAGAGGAUGACCAGCCACACUGGAACUGAGACACGGUCCAGACUCCUACGGGAGGCAGCAGUGGGGAAUAUUGCACAAUGGGCGCAAGCCUGAUGCAGCCAUGCCGCGUGUGUGAAGAAGGCCUUCGGGUUGUAAAGCACUUUCAGCGGGGAGGAAGGCGGUGAGGUUAAUAACCUCAUCGAUUGACGUUACCCGCAGAAGAAGCACCGGCUAACUCCGUGCCAGCAGCCGCGGUAAUACGGAGGGUGCAAGCGUUAAUCGGAAUUACUGGGCGUAAAGCGCACGCAGGCGGUCUGUCAAGUCGGAUGUGAAAUCCCCGGGCUCAACCUGGGAACUGCAUUCGAAACUGGCAGGCUAGAGUCUUGUAGAGGGGGGUAGAAUUCCAGGUGUAGCGGUGAAAUGCGUAGAGAUCUGGAGGAAUACCGGUGGCGAAGGCGGCCCCCUGGACAAAGACUGACGCUCAGGUGCGAAAGCGUGGGGAGCAAACAGGAUUAGAUACCCUGGUAGUCCACGCCGUAAACGAUGUCGAUUUGGAGGUUGUGCCCUUGAGGCGUGGCUUCCGGAGCUAACGCGUUAAAUCGACCGCCUGGGGAGUACGGCCGCAAGGUUAAAACUCAAAUGAAUUGACGGGGGCCCGCACAAGCGGUGGAGCAUGUGGUUUAAUUCGAUGCAACGCGAAGAACCUUACCUGGUCUUGACAUCCACAGAACUUUCCAGAAGAUGGAUUGGUGCCUUCGGGAACUGUGAGACAGGUGUUGCAUGGCUGUCGUCAGCUCGGGUGGGGAAAUGGUUGGGUUAAGUCCCGGAACGAGCGAACCCUUAUCCUUUGUUGCCAGGGGUUCGGCCGGGAACUCAAAGGAGAUUGCAGUGUAAAUUUGGGGGAGA
RNAcentral lists this ribosomal RNA (1137 nucleotides) under Klebsiella sp. RNAcentral's name for it is "bacterial SSU rRNA". It matches the Rfam family "Bacterial small subunit ribosomal RNA", at positions 49 to 1173 of the family's 1533-position model. The record is from RNAcentral. Lineage: Bacteria; Pseudomonadati; Pseudomonadota; Gammaproteobacteria; Enterobacterales; Enterobacteriaceae.